This 433-nucleotide ribosomal RNA is filed under the name uncultured bacterium. Its description in RNAcentral is "bacterial SSU rRNA". It matches the Rfam family "Bacterial small subunit ribosomal RNA", at positions 957 to 1391 of the family's 1533-position model. The record is from RNAcentral.
GAACGCGAAGAACCUUACCAUCCUUUGACAUGGCGUGUUACCCAGAGAGAUUUGGGGUCCACUUCGGUGGCGCGCACACAGGUGCUGCAUGGCUGUCGUCAGCUCGUGUCGUGAGAUGUUGGGUUAAGUCCCGCAACGAGCGCAACCCACGUCCUUAGUUGCCAUCAUUCAGUUGGGCACUCCAGGGAGACUGCCGGUGAUAAGCCGCGAGGAAGGUGUGGAUGACGUCAAGUCCUCAUGGCCCUUACGGGAUGGGCUACACACGUGCUACAAUGGCGGUGACAGUGGGACGCGAAGGAGCGAUCUGGAGCAAAUCCCCAAAAGCCGUCUCAGUUCGGAUUGCACUCUGCAACUCGAGUGCAUGAAGGCGGAAUCGCUAGUAAUCGUGGAUCAGCAUGCCACGGUGAAUACGUUCCCGGGUCUUGUACACACC